AGCAGCCGCGGUAAUUCCAGCUCCAAUAGCGUAUAUUAAAGUUGCUGCAGUUAAAAAGCUCGUAGUUGAAUUUCGGGACCAUCAUGUCGGUCGUGCCUCGGUACGUACUGGCAUUGUUGGUUUCUACCUUCUGACGAACCAUGAUGUCAUUUAUUUGGUGUCGUGGGAAAUCAGGACUGUUACUUUGAAAAAUUAGAGUGUUUAAAGCAGGCUCACGCUUGAAUACAUUAGCAUGGAAUAAUGAAAUAGGACGUUUGAUUCUAUUUUGUUGGUUUCUAGGAUCGACGUAAUGAUUAAUAGGGAUAGUUGGGGGCAUUAGUAUUCAAUUGUCAGAGGUGAAAUUCUUGGAUUUAUUGAAGACUAACUACUGCGAAAGCAUUUGCCAAGGAUGUUUUCAUUAAUCAAGAACGAAAGUUAGGGGAUCGAAGACGAUCAGAUACCGUCGUAGUCUUAACCAUAAACUAUGCCGACUAGGGAUCGGAUGAUGUUAAUUUUAAUGUA
Molecule: ribosomal RNA, 501 nt
Filed under: uncultured Glomus
Lineage: Eukaryota; Fungi; Glomeromycota; Glomeromycetes; Glomerales; Glomeraceae
Description: SSU rRNA
Rfam family: Eukaryotic small subunit ribosomal RNA
Source: RNAcentral